Molecule: ribosomal RNA, 119 nt
Filed under: Lepisosteus oculatus (spotted gar)
Lineage: Eukaryota; Metazoa; Chordata; Actinopteri; Semionotiformes; Lepisosteidae
Source: RNAcentral
UAUAGCAGCCAUAUCACCCUGCAACUCACAACUGGCAGCCCACUGAAGCUCAGCAGGUGUGAGCCUGGCCAGUACCUGGAUGGGAGACCUCCUGGGAAAAACUAAGGUUGCUGCUGGGG